This 460-nucleotide ribosomal RNA is filed under the name uncultured bacterium. Its description in RNAcentral is "partial 16S ribosomal RNA". It matches the Rfam family "Bacterial small subunit ribosomal RNA", at positions 338 to 795 of the family's 1533-position model. The record is from RNAcentral.
CCUACGGGAGGCAGCAGUGAGGAAUAUUGGUCAAUGGACGAGAGUCUGAACCAGCCAAGUAGCGUGAAGGAUGACUGCCCUAUGGGUUGUAAACUUCUUUUAUAUGGGAAUAAAAUGUUCCACGUGUGGGCUUUUGUAUGUACCAUAUGAAUACGGAUCGGCUAACUCCGUUCCAGCAGCCGCGGUAAUACGGAGGAUCCGAGCGUUAUCCGGAUUUAUUGGGUUUAAAGGGAGCGUAGGUGGAUUGUUAAGUCAGUUGUGAAAGUUUGCGGCUCAACCGUAAAAUUGCAGUUGAAACUGGCAGUCUUGAGUACAGUAGAGGUGGGCGGAAUGCGUGGUGUAGCGGUGAAAUGCUUAGAUAUCACGAAGAACUCCGAUUGCGAAGGCAGCUCACUGGACUGCAACUGACACUGAGGCUCGAAAGUGUGGGUAUCAAACAGGAUUAGAUACCCGUGUAGUC